Molecule: signal recognition particle RNA, 308 nt
Filed under: Leersia perrieri
Lineage: Eukaryota; Viridiplantae; Streptophyta; Magnoliopsida; Poales; Poaceae
Description: SRP RNA Plant_SRP
Rfam family: Plant signal recognition particle RNA
Source: Rfam by way of RNAcentral
GCCGAGCUCAGCAGCGUGAGCUUGUAACCCAAGCGGGGGCAUUAGGGUGGUGUGGACGUGGCCGUAUGGUUGCUGGCCUGGGUCUGCAGUGCAAUUGGUGGCCCGCCCGUUCCAAGUUGCGUAGUUGGGCCGGCGGGGCUUAAGCGAAAGCUUUAAGGGUCCCACGGUUCCUAGAGUGGCAGGCAUUGCGUGAGGCUGGUUUCACAGAGCAGCGAAUACUGCCCGCUUCCAACGGUGGAAGGAUAACGGGCCGCUGCACUGUUGGCCCGGUUGGGCCUCGCAGCCUACUUCAACGAACCACCACUUUU